RNAcentral lists this long non-coding RNA (209 nucleotides) under Elaeis guineensis (African oil palm). RNAcentral's name for it is "long non-coding RNA (EGUI_LNC079749)". Lineage: Eukaryota; Viridiplantae; Streptophyta; Magnoliopsida; Arecales; Arecaceae. The record is from RNAcentral.
GGGGCAGUUCGAGCUUGCCCUAGAAUCAUCCCCUUUUCUCCAAACCAGUGAUUUAACUCCUCAAAUUAUUGCCUUUUUCCUUCCAAAAUCUUUUCCUCUCUGCCUCACAUUUAGUCUCCUAAGCUUUUUUCAAGUCUCUCUUGACCUAAUGGCUCCCAAAAUGAAGCUAUCGCAAAGAAAAAAAUCUGUUCGUGUGUUGGAAGACUGUG